This 482-nucleotide ribosomal RNA is filed under the name uncultured bacterium. Its description in RNAcentral is "partial 16S ribosomal RNA". It matches the Rfam family "Bacterial small subunit ribosomal RNA", at positions 30 to 507 of the family's 1533-position model. The record is from RNAcentral.
AUUGAACGCUGGCGGCAUGCUUUGCACAUGCAAGUCGAACGGUAACAGGCCGCAAGGUGCUGACGAGUGGCGAACGGGUGAGUAAUGCAUCGGAACGUGCCCAGUCGUGGGGGAUAACUACUCGAAAGAGUAGCUAAUACUGCAUACGAUCUAUGGAUGAAAGCGGGGGACCGUAAGGCCUCGCGCGAUUGGAGCGGCCGAUGUCAGAUUAGGUAGUUGGUGGGGUAAAGGCUCACCAAGCCAACGAUCUGUAGCUGGUCUGAGAGGACGACCAGCCACACUGGGACUGAGACACGGCCCAGACUCCUACGGGAGGCAGCAGUGGGGAAUUUUGGACAAAGGGCGCAAGCCUGAUCCAGCAAUGCCGCGUGCAGGAAGAAGGCCUUCGGGUUGUAAACUGCUUUUGUACGGAACGAAACGGCUCUGGUUAAUACCCGGGGCUAAUGACGGUACCGUAAGAAUAAGCACCGGCUAACUACGUG